UAGCAUAUCAAUAAGCGGAGGAAAAGAAACCAACAGGGAUUGCCCUAGUAACGGCGAGUGAAGCGGCAACAGCUCAAAUUUGAAAUCUGGCUUCGGCCCGAGUUGUAAUUUGUAGAGGAAGCUUUUGGCGAGGCACCUUCUGAGUCCCCUGGAACGGGGCGCCAUAGAGGGUGAGAGCCCCGUAUAGUUGGAUGCCUCCGCCUCUGUAAAGCUCCUUCGACGAGUCGAGUAGUUUGGGAAUGCUGCUCAAAAUGGGAGGUAAAUUUCUUCUAAAGCUAAAUACCGGCCAGAGACCGAUAGCGCACAAGUAGAGUGAUCGAAAGAUGAAAAGCACUUUGAAAAGAGGGUUAAACAGCACGUGAAAUUGUUGAAAGGGAAGCGCUUGUGACCAGACUUGCGCCGGGCUGAUCAUCCGGUGUUCUCACCGGUGCACUCUGCCCGGCUCAGGCCAGCAUCGGUUCUCGCGGGGGGAUAAAGGCUCGGGGAACGUAUCUCCUCCGGGAGUGUUAUAGCCCCGGGUGUAACGCCCUCGCGGGGACCGAGGUUCGCGCAUCUGCAAGGAUGCUGGCGUAAUGGUCACCAGCGACCCGUCUUGAAACACGGACCAAGGAGUCAAGGUUUUGCGCGAGUGUUUGGGUGUUAAACCCGCACGCGUAAUGAAAGUGAACGUAGGUGAGAGCUUCGGCGCAUCAUCGACCGAUCCUGAUGUAUUCGGAUGGAUUUGAGUAGGAGCGUUAAGCCUUGGACCCGAAAGAUGGUGAACUAUGCUUGGAUAGGGUGAAGCCAGAGGAAACUCUGGUGGAGGCUCGCAGCGGUUCUGACGUGCAAAUCGAUCGUCAAAUCUGAGCAUGGGGGCGAAAGACUAAUCGAACCAUCUAGUAGCUGGUUACCGCC
Molecule: ribosomal RNA, 894 nt
Filed under: Chaetomium trigonosporum
Lineage: Eukaryota; Fungi; Ascomycota; Sordariomycetes; Sordariales; Chaetomiaceae
Description: LSU rRNA
Rfam family: Eukaryotic large subunit ribosomal RNA
Source: RNAcentral